AUAAUAAAAUAUGUAUGUGUAAUUAUAAAUAUCUUGGGUGACUAAACUCAAUCCAUCUUGAUAGUUCUAUGCAGUUUUUUUAAUUGUUGACAGGGACUUGUUAAGGAACAAUUCAAUUCUUUUUGAGUUCAAUGACUACACAGAAGUCAAACGAAGGCUUUGAUAAUUAUUUGACCAAGUGGGAGAAUGUUAGAUGUUUUAUGUCUUAAAUCACUUUAAUGUGGUCUUCUA
RNAcentral lists this long non-coding RNA (231 nucleotides) under Prunus persica (peach). Its description in RNAcentral is "long non-coding RNA (PPER_LNC005375)". Lineage: Eukaryota; Viridiplantae; Streptophyta; Magnoliopsida; Rosales; Rosaceae. The record is from RNAcentral.